RNAcentral lists this ribosomal RNA (511 nucleotides) under uncultured bacterium. RNAcentral's name for it is "bacterial SSU rRNA". It matches the Rfam family "Bacterial small subunit ribosomal RNA", at positions 29 to 518 of the family's 1533-position model. The record is from RNAcentral.
AACGAACGCUGGCGGCGUGCUUAACACAUGCAAGUCGAACGCGAAAGGGACUUCGGUCCUGAGUAAAGUGGCGCACGGGUGAGUAACGCGUAGAUAACCUGUCUUCAUGUCUGGAAUAAUACGCCGAAAGGGGUACUAAUACCGGAUAUUCUUGCUUUUCAUAAGUUAUGCAAGCAAAGGUGGCCUCCGCAUAUGCUACUGCAUGAAGAGGGGUCUGCGUACCAUUAGCUAGUAGGUGGGGUAAUGGCCUACCUAGGCGACGAUGGUUAGCGGGUCUGAGAGGAUGAUCCGCCACACUGGCACUGGAACACGGGCCAGACUCCUACGAGAGGCAGCAGUGAGGAAUAUUGCGCAAUGGGGGAAACCCUGACGCAGCGACGCCGCGUGAGUGAGGAAAGGCCUUCGGGUCGUAAAGCUCUGUCAAGAGGAAAGAAGUGUACAAUGGCUAAUACCUGUUGUAUUUGACGGUACCUCUAAAGGAAGCACCGGCUAACUCCGUGCCAGCAGCAGC